CCGUUUCAACGCGAACGUUACAUGUAGCUUCCGCAGGUUUCUCUCUACGAGAUUAUUGUUAAUCGCCAUCAAAUUUAAUACGCAGUUCGAAAUUCGUAAAAUAAUGCAAGUAAGUGAAAAUAGAUUUUAGAGGAGAAGAACGAGGAAGAAAUAUGACCGCUUUCUGCAGUAAACAUGAAAUAACAAUGCCAUCUUUACAAUGAAGUAUUAGUCUAACAAUGUGACCAUUAAUAAUGAACGUAAAUGGCGAAAAGGAAAAAUUGACAAAGAGCACGUAAUAUAAUUGUAUAUUCAGUUGGAUAUUAUUAUUUCUGUCUUGAAAUACAAAUAACAGAGUGCGCUUUUUAACGGAUAUCUUUCUCAUUUUAAAUGCAGAAGAAUGGAAAAGAAACAUACAACAAACGAACGUAAAAUCCAUAAUCAUCUUCGUCGUUUCCUCGACAGUUGUCGAAAGAGUAAAAAAUACGCACGGACAUCGACAUUGUCGACAUGGCGCAAAAAAAUUCACGCGAGUAUCUAAUAUUAACGCCUAGAGUGUGCGAGAUACAGUCCCGAUUCCACGGAUGCGCUCGCUAUUGCGCCAGCGUGAAAUGAAAUUUGUCUCGGUGUCGAUGGAGUUUCGAUAACUCGAUAAAAAUCCGGCGAGCGGAAAAGCAAUCGUUUCGUCGCGCGAAAUUCUCUUGUCCUGCUUUCCCCAUCUUCUCCCUCCCUCUCUCUCUCUCUCUCUCUCUCUCUUUCUUUCUCUUUCUCUUUUACUCGCUCUUUCGCCUCCAAUCUCCCCUCCUAAUCUUGACUGCGAGAGUCAAAAGUUAGUCAGAAGAUAGCUACAAGGUGGCGAAUCGAGGUGGAGAAACGAGCCGAAACGAGCGUCCGGAGAGCGAGUGGGCGGAGAUAUUUCCCGGGCAUGAUCCCCCUUUGAUCCGUUUUACUACAGUCGUUCCCUCGGAUUAAGCCGGAAUAAGAAAGAAUCCGCGAGUUUCGUCUUAACACAAUCUAUCCAUAGUCGUUGCUAUUGUACAGCGCGCAAUAAUUGAGUCUGACAGAGAUUCUGCGAGGAAAGAAAUCUUGUGCGAUUUCCUUUGAAUUUCUGCCUGAAAAAUUUGAUAAAAAAGAUUGGAUUUAAUAUUAUAGGUCAAUGUAAUCUAUUCUUUAUUGUCUUCUUCUUUUGCUUAUGUAAAAAAAAAUGAAUAAUAUGAUAAGAAAGAUAUAUUAGAGAAUAUAUAUUCUGACCUGUCAAUUAUAAACUAUUUUGAAAAUUGUUCAAUCUUUUUGCAUGCCAUUUAAUUCUAGUAAAGAAACAUAAACUUUUCAACAAUUUUUAAAAGAGAUAUUAUAUAUAAAUUUUUUUUUCUACCAUGACUUUUUAUUAAUCUAUAACAAUUUGCAAUUGCAUAGAUUUUGAUAGAUAUUCAUACAUUUUCAAUGAUAGACUUUUGAAAGAAUUCAGUUUUCGUCCAGGCGUCAUUGUCGUGAAAGGAAAGACAAUUCGCGUUGAUUAAAACGGAAUACGAACGGGGUCGCGUCUCGUGAUAAAUCUAUCGUCGAAUUCAUAAAGCAUCGUUACGUCGUUUCCGUUAGAUGGAAGUGCGAACUGCUCUCUUGCGUACACGCGGCUAAAAUAGUUUGUUUUUUCAGGAAAGAUGCCUUUUUUCGGGACAGCGAGAAAAAAAAACACGUCGAUUGCCGAGAGGGAUUACGCGACGACGAGGAUCGCUUGAAAACGAUUAAUCAUCGACGAUGGAUGCUGUAUUAUGUGGGACGGUACUACAUCGACUCAUCGAUGGUCCCUGAUGUAGCACUGCUUAUGCCGGAUUAUGAUCGAGGAUUUGCAGCCUCUACUAGCAUAUGUUGUACAUUUUUUACGCUCGAAAUAAACAAUAUAAUGCAGUUUUGCUGUGGACAGGACAGUUCGCAUAAGCAGAGACUCCGGGUCGCCAUUUUGCCGACGAUAAAAUAUCCUGGAUGCCCGGGGGUCGCUUCUUAUCUUUCCUAUUAUCGAUAGCUGGCCGAGGACCAAUAUGGCCACGGCAGCGGUUACCAUGGCUACGUUCGAUAUCUCGUUUCGGGACGGGGGCCCCAUCAUCCGCGCUAUUAUCGCGCUUCGCCGUAAAUAAGGAGAAGGCACUCCCUCAUCUCCGGAGGAACGGCACCGAGGGCUUGCAAAUUCUCUCUCGCUCUCGCGAUUGCGCGAGGGAGACGAAACGAUUCUUAUCUCGUGCGCGCUAUGGUUAUUUCAGCGAACGCUGAUAGAGAGAAAUUGUAUAUCAAGCAGAAGCCUUUCUAUUUGCCUUGACUAAAAGAUGAAAGAAGAAAGUUUUUAUUGUCACAUAAAUACAUCAACUAAUGGACAUUAUUAAGCAUUCCAUUAAAAUAUUUUUCAAUACUUCUCGAUAAAACGACACAUAAAAGAUUGUACGAGACAGACAAUUGAAUAAAAUCGAUAGAACGAGAGUAACCUUUCGAAAGAAAAUCCUCAAAAGAGCGGAACGAUUUCCAUCACUUUCUUCGUCACAGACGACAAACAUUGCGCUUCUACAUGUGAUUCUAAGAAUACGAGGGUGCAAGGACAAACCUAUCAUUUUGCGGAGACCAUCACGCCUCAGGAAAAUGUUUUUACUAGCUGACGACAUAAAGGUAAAGAAUUCGUGCUGCAUAUUUGUGAACCGGAAUAUGGGCGAACGGUAUUUGUGGGCAAACGACUUCAUUUCAUCGUGCCUUCAUAGAUCGUUAAGCUAGUGGCAUUCAUACGGAAUUAUCUCGUUCUAUGGAGGUAAACGAGUCGAGUUUCCCGGCUGAAUCACUCGUAGAGUUAAUUGUUUUCACCGCACCCUAUCCGUCCCUGUUUGUAUACACUCUCGCAUACAUAUAAUCAUUCAUGUAACCCCGUCGCGUCACCAGGGAUUCUCUGGAGAGAGAAACAUCUCCUUUCUAAUUUUAAAUAGUUUAUGUAAUUGUGCUCAAGGCAUGCAGCUCCAAUUUAGCUAUACAUGAUAUCAAAACUAUAAAAUACAUACGUCUCAAGUUAAAUUUCAUUCAAUUUUCCCAAAUGGCAUUGUGCAAUCAAAUUGCUAAUAAUUAGUAAUUUUAUACUCAUAAAAAUUGUUUGUAACAAGUUUUUCUCGAUAAAUCAUAGAGAAAUAGAGAGGAGAAGAUGAUAAGAGAGGAUAAAGAAUAUAAUUUAUUACAAUAUAGAUAUUGUAAUAUUUAUAUAUAAUAUUUUUAUUCAUCUCAUUGUUUUAUUUCUUCCUUAUUUUUUUACUUUUUUCGCACUUUCCACAGCUUACUAAGUUAUAGUUUUAUAUACAAAUAUUACUAUAUGCUAAACCCCUGACAAUAUUGGGCAAAAUGUACUCGCAGAUAGUGAAUAAUAACAUUUGCAGCCAUAUAAUUUUCACAGAAAACAUAUAAUUAAUAUAAAUAUUAUAUCACGAUACUCUUUGAAGAUCGACAUAAAGAUUUGACUGUACAGGCAUGCAGAUUCUGGAGAUAUACAUACACAAUCGAUCUGACACACGGGUUACUUGAAGCUUACAACUUAUAUGAUACAACACUUGUUAUAUUUUCGCAUUAGCAAUCAACAGUUCGAUUGUGUGUGUGUGUGUGUGUAUGUGUGUGUCAUUCUAACGCUUUUUUAUUAAACUAUAUAUUUCACAGACAUAUUAUAUAUUAUAUACAAAAUAUAAUAUAUUUAUAUACAAAUAUACAUAUCUAUAAUUGUUAUUUUUUAUUCACAUUACAUUUUGCGAAAUAGUAUUUUCUAAUAAGAAUCUAACUUUCGGCGUGAAAACUACAAUUAUUUCUUAUCACCUUUUCCUCCAUUCUUCCUAUAUUACACGUUCUUCUACUUCACUAUUACUACACUAAACCUAAGGUGCCGUAUCAUGUCUUGACAUUCAUUAAGUACAUUUUAAAUGUGAAAGAUACUUAUCACAUUUAAUUAUAUGUAGUGCCUUGAUUAGAAAUUAAAGAUUAAAGAAAUAGAACAUUAGAUAUAAUGUACAUAUAUUUGUCUAUUACUCGAUGGACAUUGUGGCACAAUUCCUCUGGCGAUACGAUUUAACAGAUUUUUUAAAAUUAUUUCUUUGCAAUAAAACAGUACACAAAAAGUUUUAAAGCGCGAUAGCUUUUCAUUUUCGAAUUACGAGAAUUAUUAUAUACAUGAAAAAUAAAAAAAU
Molecule: long non-coding RNA, 4175 nt
Organism: Cataglyphis hispanica
Lineage: Eukaryota; Metazoa; Arthropoda; Insecta; Hymenoptera; Formicidae
Exons: 8
Source: RefSeq, a predicted model, not a curated record